CCGGUCCAGAUGUGCCGGUACGCGUCCCAGCAGGGCGGUGAUUGCUGCGCACCCGCGUGCGGCCGCCGGCUCCGAACGCCCCGGGAACCGGCCAAUUCCAGCGUCCGUGUCGCGCGCUCCGUGUCACAGCACGACGCGGCUCCACGGUCCGCGCCGCGGCGUCAUCGUCGCACCUCGAGGCGCGGCGGAAACGCUCAGGUUUUUGUGAUUCUCCUCAGAAGCGCCCCUAAUUCCGGCGCCACUGCUGAGCGGCCGUCGGCGGGGUCCUGCUUUGGUCGUUACCAUGGGAACGGACGGGCUCCGGCCCAUAGCGACAGGAGUAAAGGGAUGCGGUCGAUGAAGUGAGCAGCGCUGGAACAAACACCUCCGGUGGAGUGAAGCGUGAGCAACUGGGUGGUGGUCGCGUUUGUGUCUCUGACGCUCGCUGUGUAAACCUCAGCUUCCACGUGUUGAAUGCAGUAGAUCCAGUUUAAACUACAGCUGCGGCGGAGCCACGAACCCACCUCUGCAGCUGAAACACACAAAGCUGUUUUCUCUCAAGAGCUCCUCAUCCACAAGAAAUGACUUAUGGUAAUUUCCUGGGGAGAUCGGAGAUAAAGGCAGAGAAUAUUGACGGAGGCCUUUCAUGACGACUCAUAGGCAGAGAGACGCAAUCAUCGUUUCCAGUGGGUCGACUUUAGCUUCAGCGUCUCCAUGUACGACCACGAGCCAGAAACACAAAGAAUGUGUUUCAUAAAGGGAUUUGUUUGCUUCACUUCAGGAAUAAACCAAGAUAGUGAUGAUGACAGUUACUCUAAGGACCUUGUUUGUGUGGACAAAAUGAAGAUAUUAAAAAGUGACAGAUAAUUCAAACAGUUGUGAAAGAAACAACUGAAGCAUCACAGGGUGAUUUUACAGGUCAGUGUGUAAACACAACUCAGAUAGCGGUGUUAUAAUAGAGUAAAAAGCCUUAAUGUGUUUCAUAUUUGUAUGCGAUAAAGUCUCCAUAAAUUCCAUAAAUACCUUCUGA
Betta splendens (Siamese fighting fish) is the source of this 1009-nucleotide long non-coding RNA. RefSeq lists it as uncharacterized. The record is from RefSeq and is a predicted model, not a curated record. Lineage: Eukaryota; Metazoa; Chordata; Actinopteri; Anabantiformes; Osphronemidae. The transcript has 3 exons.